Molecule: ribosomal RNA, 456 nt
Filed under: uncultured crenarchaeote
Lineage: Archaea; Thermoproteati; Thermoproteota
Description: bacterial SSU rRNA
Rfam family: Archaeal small subunit ribosomal RNA
Source: RNAcentral
CUUUUGCAAGUCAUAAAACCACUAGUGAAUAAGGGGUGGGCAAGUUCUGGUGUCAGCCGCCGCGGUAAAACCAGCACCUCAAGUGGUCAGGAGGAUUAUUGGGCCUAAAGCAUCCGUAGCCGGCUCUGUAAGUUUUCGGUUAAAUCCAUGUGCUCAACGCAUGGGCUGUCGAAAAUACUGCAUAGCUAGGGAGUGGGAGAGGUAGACGGUACUCGGUAGGAAGGGGUAAAAUCCUUUGAUCUAUCGAUGACCACCUGUGGCGAAGGCGGUCUACCAGAACACGUUCGACGGUGAGGGAUGAAAGCUGGGGGAGCAAACCGGAUUAGAUACCCGGGUAGUCCCAGCUGUAAACGAUGCAGACUCGAUGAUGCAUUGGCAUAUAGCCAGUGCAGUGUCGCAGGGAAGCCGUUAAGUCUGCCGCCUGGGAAGUACGUACGCAAGUAUGAAACUUAAAGG